CCUACGGGAGGCAGCAGUGGGGGAUAUUGGACAAUGGGGGGAACCCUGAUCCAGCGACGCCGCGUGAGUGAAGAAGUAUUUCGGUAUGUAAAGCUCUGUCAGCAGGGAAGAAAAUGACGGUACCUGAGUAAGAAUCCGCGGCUAACUACGUGCCAGCAGCCGCGGUAAUACGUAGUGGGCAAGCGUUAUUCGGAUUUACUGGGUGUAAAGGGAGCGUAGACGGUGCGCUAAGUCUGGAGUGAAAUGCCGCAGCUUAACUGCGGAACUGCUUUGGAAACUGGCGAACUAGAGUGCGGGAGGGGUAAGCGGAAUGCCUGGUGUAGCGGUGAAAUGCUUAGAUAGUAGGAGGAACACCAGUGGCGAAGGCGGCGUGCUGGACUGUAACUGACACUGAGGCUCGAAAGCGUGGGGAGCAAACAGGAUUAGAUACCCGUGUAGUC
This 440-nucleotide ribosomal RNA is filed under the name uncultured bacterium. RNAcentral's name for it is "partial 16S ribosomal RNA". It matches the Rfam family "Bacterial small subunit ribosomal RNA", at positions 338 to 795 of the family's 1533-position model. The record is from RNAcentral.